AGACACACAUGAUUAUAGAAAUUUAGUACUGAGGAAGUAUAUGCAGGACAGAAAAAUAAUUAGGAAUUCUUCGUUUAUGAUGUAUCU
Molecule: small nucleolar RNA, 87 nt
Filed under: Lipomyces starkeyi NRRL Y-11557
Lineage: Eukaryota; Fungi; Ascomycota; Lipomycetes; Lipomycetales; Lipomycetaceae
Description: Small nucleolar RNA snR57
Rfam family: Small nucleolar RNA snR57
About the family: snR57 is a member of the C/D class of snoRNA which contain the C (UGAUGA) and D (CUGA) box motifs. Most of the members of the box C/D family function in directing site-specific 2'-O-methylation of substrate RNAs.
Source: Rfam by way of RNAcentral